This 253-nucleotide ribosomal RNA is filed under the name uncultured bacterium. Its description in RNAcentral is "partial 16S ribosomal RNA". It matches the Rfam family "Bacterial small subunit ribosomal RNA", at positions 524 to 776 of the family's 1533-position model. The record is from RNAcentral.
UACGAAGGGGGCAAGCGUUGUUCGGAAUUACUGGGCGUAAAGGGCGCGUAGGCGGCCGAUCAAGUCAGGCGUGAAAUUCCCGGGCUCAACCUGGGGGCUGCGCUUGAUACUGAUUGGCUUGAAUGCGGGAGAGGAUAGUGGAAUUCCCAGUGUAGAGGUGAAAUUCGUAGAUAUCAGGAGGAACACCGGUGGCGAAGGCGGCUUUCUGGACACUAACUGACGCUGAGACGCGAAAGCGUGGGGAGCAAACAGG